Molecule: non-coding RNA, 207 nt
Organism: Oryza glumipatula
Lineage: Eukaryota; Viridiplantae; Streptophyta; Magnoliopsida; Poales; Poaceae
Source: Rfam
AAAAAGACAAACCAUGGGUUUCCAUGUGCAACGUUUGACUGUCCGUCUUAUAUGAAAUUUUUUUAUAAUUAGUAUUUUCAUUGUUGUUAGAUGAUAAAACAUGAUUAAUACUUUAUGUGUGACUUAUCUUUUAAAUUUUUUUCAUAAUUUUUUUAAAUAAAAUGGACGAUCAAAUAUUAGACACGAAAACUCAGGGUUAGCUUUUUU